CAGCCAACCACGUGAUCUCUGCUGCCGGCAAAAUACAAAACUUCGGCAGUCAUCAUAAAGCGGAUUUAUACUUCUGGAAGCCAGAAAAGAAAGAAAAGAAAGGAAGAGGAGUAUAAGAAAAAACAAGAUAGUGGUUCUUUGCUUAAAUUUCUCAGCGCGCAGGCUCUUCCUAAAGAUACAUCCACUGAUGAAGCUACACCAUCAACGUCAUCCUCAACAUCAACAGAUGCAUCACUUCUCAGUGCUGAUGUUUCUUCUAUAGCACAAGGUACCACAAGCUCUAUAAUUAUAGCUGAUAUCAUGCACAGCCCAGAGUUUAAACUGAUAAGUGUGUGCUGUCAUAUUGUUAGAAAAAAAACAGUGCAAAUCACUAUUGAAUUCCCACCAAACUGUGUAAAUAAACAUUAAACUGUAAACCUUAAACUGUAUGGCUAUGCUGUGGUUCCUGUAGGCUUUGCGUGCGUGUGGGGGGGCCUCCAUGUCCAUUUUGCUUGGGGCCCCCAAAUUCCUUCAAACGGCCCUGCUGAAAG
Non-coding RNA from Misgurnus anguillicaudatus (oriental weatherfish), 530 nucleotides. Lineage: Eukaryota; Metazoa; Chordata; Actinopteri; Cypriniformes; Cobitidae. The record is from RefSeq and is a predicted model, not a curated record.